AUUGAACGCUGGCGGCAUGCCUUACACAUGCAAGUCGAACGGCAGCGCGGACUUCGGUCUGGCGGCGAGUGGCGAACGGGUGAGUAAUACAUCGGAACGUACCCUGUUGUGGGGGAUAACUAGUCGAAAGAUUAGCUAAUACCGCAUACGACCUGAGGGUGAAAGUGGGGGACCGCAAGGCCUCACGCAGCAGGAGCGGCCGAUGUCUGAUUAGCUAGUUGGUGGGGUAAAGGCCCACCGAGGCGACGAUCAGUACCUGGUCUGAGAGGACGACCAGCCACACUGGGACUGAGACACGGCCCAGACUCCUACGGGAGGCAGCAGUGGGGAAUUUUGGACAAUGGGGGCAACCCUGAUCCAGCAAUGCCGCGUGUGUGAAGAAGGCCUUCGGGUUGUAAAGCACUUUUGUCCGGAAAGAAAUCGCGCUGGUUAAUACCUGGCGUGGAUGACGGUACCGGAAGAAUAAGCACCGGCUAACUCUGUGCCAGCCGCCGCCGUAA
RNAcentral lists this ribosomal RNA (500 nucleotides) under uncultured bacterium. RNAcentral describes it as "partial 16S ribosomal RNA". It matches the Rfam family "Bacterial small subunit ribosomal RNA", at positions 30 to 523 of the family's 1533-position model. The record is from RNAcentral.